This 101-nucleotide non-coding RNA is filed under the name Lactobacillus acetotolerans. Its description in RNAcentral is "Azaaromatic sequence". It matches the Rfam family "azaaromatic riboswitch aptamer (yjdF RNA)". Lineage: Bacteria; Bacillati; Bacillota; Bacilli; Lactobacillales; Lactobacillaceae. The record is from Rfam by way of RNAcentral.
AUAUUGAAAAGUGAAAACACAGUUCGGUUGGUAGUCCGGACGCGGUAAAUUACUGUAAGUAACCUUCCUUUUCAGGGUCGCCUGCCUUUUCAAAUUAUAUU